GUUACUGGGAGGUUACUGGGGGUUACUGGGAGUCACUGGGAGUUACUGGGAGGUUACUGGGAGGCACUGGGAGUUACUGGGAGUUACUGGGAGUUACUGGGAGGUUACUGGGAGUCACUGGGAGGUUACUGGGGAGUCACUGGGGAGUUACUGGGAGUCACUGGGAGUCACUGGGAGUCACUGGGAGUUACUGGGAGGUUACUGGAAGUCACUGGGUGGCACUGGGAGUUACUGGGAGGUCACUGGGAGUCACUGGGAGGUUACCGGGGAGUCACUGGGAGCUACUGGGAGUUACUGGGAGUCACUGGGAGGUUACUGGGAGUCACUGGGAGGUUACUGGGAGUCACUGGGAGGCACUGGGAGUCACUGGGAGUUACUGGGAGGUUACUGGGAGUCACUGGGAGUCACUGGGAUGUUACUGGGAGGCACUGGGAGUUACUGGGAGGUUACUGGAAGUCACUGGGUGGCACUGGGAGUUACUGGGAGGUCACUGGGAGUCACUGGGAGGUUACCGGGGAGUCACUGGGAGCUACUGGGAGUUACUGGGAGUCACUGGGAGGUUACUGGGAGUCACUGGGAGGUUACUGGGAGUCACUGGGAGGCACUGGGAGUCACUGGGAGUUACUGGGAGGUUACUGGGAGUCACUGGGAGGCACUGGGAGUCACUGGGAG
Long non-coding RNA from Cuculus canorus (common cuckoo), 672 nucleotides. RefSeq lists it as uncharacterized. The transcript is spliced from 4 exons. The record is from RefSeq and is a predicted model, not a curated record. Lineage: Eukaryota; Metazoa; Chordata; Aves; Cuculiformes; Cuculidae.